Molecule: ribosomal RNA, 253 nt
Filed under: uncultured bacterium
Lineage: Bacteria
Description: partial 16S ribosomal RNA
Rfam family: Bacterial small subunit ribosomal RNA
Source: RNAcentral
UACGAAGGGGGCUAGCGUUGCUCGGAAUUACUGGGCGUAAAGCGCACGUAGGCGGGUUCUUAAGUCGGUGGUGAAAUCCUGGAGCUCAACUCCAGAACUGCCUUUGAUACUGAAAGUCUUGAGUAUGGGAGAGGUGAGUGGAACUGCGAGUGUAGAGGUGAAAUUCGUAGAUAUUCGCAAGAACACCAGUGGCGAAGGCGGCUCACUGGCCCAUUACUGACGCUGAGGCACGAAAGCGUGGGGAGCAAACAGG